RNAcentral lists this ribosomal RNA (451 nucleotides) under uncultured bacterium. RNAcentral describes it as "bacterial SSU rRNA". It matches the Rfam family "Bacterial small subunit ribosomal RNA", at positions 340 to 785 of the family's 1533-position model. The record is from RNAcentral.
UACGGAAGGCAGCAGUGGGGAAUAUUGCACAAUGGGCGCAAGCCUGAUGCAGCCAUGCCGCGUGUAUGAAGAAGGCCUUCGGGUUGUAAAGUACUUUCAGUCGUGAGGAAGGUGUUAAGGUUAAUAACCUUAGCAAUUGACGUUAGCGACAGAAGAAGCACCGGCUAACUCCGUGCCAGCAGCCGCGGUAAUACGGAGGGUGCGAGCGUUAAUCGGAAUUACUGGGCGUAAAGGGCACGCAGGCGGUUAAUUAAGUUGGAUGUGAAAUCCCCGGGCUUAACCUGGGAAUGGCAUUCAAGACUGGUUAGCUAGAGUCUUGUAGAGGGGGUAGAAUUCCAUGUGUAGCGGUGAAAUGCGUAGAGAUGUGGAGGAAUACCGGUGGCGAAGGCGGCCCCUGGACAAGACUGACGCUCAUGUGCGAAAGCGUGGGGAGCAAACGAGGAUUAGAUAC